AGUGAACGCUGGCGGUAGGCCUAACACAUGCAAGUCGAACGGCAGCACAGUAAGAGCUUGCUCUUACGGGUGGCGAGUGGCGGACGGGUGGGGAAUACAUCGGAAUCUACUUUUUCGUGGGGGAUAACGUAGGGAAACUUACGCUAAUACCGCAUACGACCUACGGGUGAAAGCAGGGGAUCUUCGGACCUUGCGCGAUUGAAUGAGCCGAUGUCGGAUUAGCUAGUUGGCGGGGUAAAGGCCCACCAAGGCGACGAUCCGUAGCUGGUCUGAGAGGAUGAUCAGCCACCAUGGAACUGAGGCAACGUCCAGAAUCCUAAGGGAGGCAGCAGUGGGGAAUAUUGGACAAUGGGGGGCAGCCUGAUCCAGCCAUACCGCGUGGGUGAAGAAGGCCUUCGGGUUGUAAAGCCCUUUUGUUGGGAAAGAAAAGCAGCAGGUUAAUACCCCGCUGGUCUGGCGGUACCCAAAGAAUAAGGCCCGGCUAACUUCGUG
This 492-nucleotide ribosomal RNA is filed under the name uncultured bacterium. RNAcentral describes it as "partial 16S ribosomal RNA". It matches the Rfam family "Bacterial small subunit ribosomal RNA", at positions 29 to 507 of the family's 1533-position model. The record is from RNAcentral.